Molecule: small nuclear RNA, 107 nt
Organism: Lagenorhynchus albirostris (white-beaked dolphin)
Lineage: Eukaryota; Metazoa; Chordata; Mammalia; Artiodactyla; Delphinidae
Source: RefSeq, a predicted model, not a curated record
GUGCUUACUUCGGCAGCACAUAUACUAAAAUUGGAACGAUACGCAGAAGAUUAGCAUGGCCUCUGUGCAAGGAUGACCCACAAAUUUGUAAAGCGUUCCAGAUUUUU